AACCGGUGUGUUUUAAAAGUUUUGCUUCGUAAUGAUGUCGUCAUAAAUUCAUUCUGAAUACGUAAGUGUAUUCACUUUCUUUUAUGUAAUAUGCUCCGGAUUAUUGUAAAGUAUUUCGCUUCCUUAAGUUGAGCAUUUAGCUUCUGAGAUCUCUGCAGACACUGAUAAUACGAAACACAAGGACGACGACGACGAUGACGACGGUGGUGGUGGGGAGAAGUGGCGACAGAAACAACGGUGAUGACGAUGACAACAACGAAGGCUGACACGGCGAAAGUGAAGGUGAAAGCGAAGGCGAUGACGAUGACAGCGACGAGGAAGGUAACAACGGAAACAACGACGACAACAAUAACAACAACAAACAACCCUCAUUAACAACAACGACAAUAGGAACAACAAAACGCAGUAGGCUCCUAUGCCAGGCUUGGGUAACCGUUUUCGAGACGCGGGCCGCAUGAAACAUGACACUACUAAGAAAAUUUCAAGGUAAUUUUUCCUUGGCGCGCCAUUCAGAUAAUCUCGCAGAUUCAUCACUAUUCUACGAUGUUGCUCGUACUACUAGACAUACAUACAUAUAUACAUACAUACAUACAGUCGAAAAUAUCUCUUUGAAAAUCAAAGAAAAGGAGGAUAUCUAUGGACAACUGCUUCGAAACCACCAGCUUCUAUAUCCAGACUUUGAAUUCAUAUUCAUAUCAAUAAUAAUUGGAGCGCUAGGUUUUGCUUGUAAAUGUUUAAUGGAGAAUCUGGAAAAAGUGGGAUGUUAAGAAAGAGAAAUCGACCGGCUAAUUCGUACAUGACAAGUGCAAUCUGUGAGUGGAGCAGUAAAAAUAUGCAAGACCCUUCCCAAGUUCCAAAUGUGAAUUUGUCAGAUGGAGCCUUGUAUCUUUGUUGGAAACCGGCUCCCUCCUAAGUGAAAGAUUUAUAAUAAUUAAAAGAUAGAAGAGACAUACAUACAUAUAUGUAUGUACUGUAUUUGUGUAUGACUUUGUGUUUGUCCCAUAGCGCAACACCCUGGACAAGUGUCUCCACAUACUUUCAAAUUCACACAAUUACUGUGUAAAUUUGGUAGAUGGAAACUGCAUGGAAGUCCGACAUAUAUAUGUGGAUGCGUGUGUGUGCACUGUGUAUGUGUGUGAGCAUGUGGGUGUGCAUGUGUGUGCAUGUAUGUGAUCAUAUGCAUACAUCUGUGUGUGUGUGUGUGUGUGUCUCACUGCCGCUUGACAACCGGUGAUGGUCCGUUUGCGUUCCUGUAACAUAACGAUUCAGCGAAAGAUACCGAUAGAGUAAGUGCCAGGCUUCAAAAAUAAGCACUCUGGCGAUUUUUCCGACUAAACUCGUCAAGGUAGCAUUCCAAGAAGACCACAAGUCGUGAAACAAGUAAAAAAUAAAGAUAUAAAAAAAAAACAGAAGACAAAAGUGUGAGCUUGUAGCCAGAUGAGAAAGACAAUAAACGUCAUAAGUUGUAAGACGUGUAAAUGUUUGCGUGAUGUCAUGAGGGCAACACAGAGCUCCCCACAUUGUUACUUCAGAAUUCUUGUGAUUAUGUAAGUGACCAUAAAUCAGAUGUCUUUUAUGACUGUUUAUUUCUAAGUCGGCUAGCGGUGGUCCAUGUGAGUAAUUAAUGUUAACGAAUGAGGAAAGCCAGUUUGUUCGGAACUUCAAAAACUCUCAGAUCCCCUCAACAUUUCUAAGAUUCUCCCACCACCGUCAUCCCUUAGCAAGGUUUUAUAUGUGACUGUUUAAUCAUGUCAUGUACAAAAGAAGCCUUGGAACUCUCUGAAUUUCAAAGAAGCCGUAUUGUGGGUCAAUCUGAAUGGGGACAUAGCCAGCGUAAAAUCGCAGAAAACCUUGGGAUCCCGCUUUCUACAGUUAAUAGAACGAUUGUGCAAUUCACCAGAGAGGGGAAGGAGUCCUCAUCACCUCUCCCAGGACCCUUCUCUUUGUUAAGAGAAGUGAGGAGGAUAAUCCUUGUUGCAAGGCCCCUGACGUAGCAGAACAAUUUGAUGUCAGUCUGAGAACAGCUGUCAGGUAUCUCCUCAAACUUGGUUACUAUGGCAGAGCAGCAAGAAGGAAGCCACUUCUUCAACCAGCCAACAUCAAGCGGAGAAAAGAUUGGGCCAGUGAGAUAGUGGAGAGACCACUAGUAUUUUGGUACACUGUCAUAUUCUCUGAUGAGUCCAGAUUUGGUAUAUUUCCUGACAGUAGUUGAGUAUGGGUCUGGAGACUCUGUGAUCAAGAAUUUGAUGUGAAAAGAUUGCAGCCAGCAAUGAAACACGGCGGCUAUUCUGUAAUGGUCUUGGGAGCAAUUUGGAGCAAUUGUUUGAUCAGAGCUGGUGGAGUUUGAGGGAAACAUAAAUUCAGAUAAAUAUGUGUCCAUAUUGCAGAAAGACUUCCUUCCAAUUUUCUCCAGUGGCGAAAUGAUUAAAGAAGACUCUUUAUUUAUGGAAGAUGGGGCUCCUUGUCACACCACUAAAAUGACCCAAGAUGUUUUGGAUGAGAAUGGCAUUAAAAAGCUUCCAUGUCCAAGCCAGUCACCAAAUAUGAAGCCUGUUGAACACCUCUGAGACAUAAUGGACAGGACACUUGAUAAAAAGAACAAGAAAGCAUCUUCAAAGUCAGAUCUUUUAAGAUUACUGCACGAAACUUGGCAACAAAUUCUGCAAGCGAAUAUUCGUCAUCUGAUCAGUAAUAUGUCUAAUAGGGUCCUUGCAUUGAAAAAUACAAAGGGCACACCUACUAAAUUUUAAA
This is a long non-coding RNA of Octopus bimaculoides (California two-spot octopus), 2751 nucleotides long. The record is from RefSeq and is a predicted model, not a curated record. Lineage: Eukaryota; Metazoa; Mollusca; Cephalopoda; Octopoda; Octopodidae.